UUCAAACGUAUUUAACCGUUCGAACAGUCUUGCAUAUAUAAGUUGCCGCGGACGGUCAUCUUCACGGACGCCAAACCACUCACAAAUCGUAGUUUUCUCCAACAUAAUCGUCCAUCGCCGUCGAGAAUAGUACCCAAUCGAAGCCUCUUCCUCUAAGCACCGUCUUGCAUAUAUAAGUUGCCGCGGAUGGUCAUCUUCACGGACGCCAAACCACUCACAAAACUUAGUUUUCUCCAACAUAAUCGUCCAUCGCCGUCGGGAAUAGUACCCAAUCGAAGCCUCUUCCUCUAAGCACCGAUGCAGUCAGGUUCUAGGGAAUCCUCUCUUAGAGACAUAGCCAUAUUCACGCAAGUGCUUGGGCCGCAUUCUAGUAUGGCAAGAGAUUUGGGACGAUCUUUCAAGCAUAGAUGCUCACCCUUCUCAACCUCAUCAUUUCAUAAAUUAAUAAUUUUAUCAAAAAUUUAGAAUCUGCACGGCGCGAGAAAGAGUAUAUGAGGUCGAGACAGCAAAAGCUAGAGUCUCUCUUAGAGCGACAAUUUCAUUUAGAUACGCGUUUGCAGGACGAACAAAGAGACCAGGAGGAAAGAGUGCGCAGUGAAGUCUAAGAACAAGUGCAACGGGAGAUGAUGAUGCAAAUUGAGCGUGUUAUGUUGUUGCAACAAAAUCGCGGUGGGUGAGAAAAGAAUAAGAAAUGAAUUUUAUUAAUUUUAUUAGUGUAUAUAACUUAUUUUAAUAUUUAAUUUUGAAAUUUUAUAAGACAUUGUUAGUUGUUAAU
This is a long non-coding RNA of Juglans regia (Persian walnut), 775 nucleotides long. RefSeq lists it as uncharacterized. Lineage: Eukaryota; Viridiplantae; Streptophyta; Magnoliopsida; Fagales; Juglandaceae. The transcript has 3 exons. The record is from RefSeq and is a predicted model, not a curated record.